Molecule: transfer RNA, 85 nt
Filed under: Verrucomicrobiota bacterium
Lineage: Bacteria; Pseudomonadati; Verrucomicrobiota
Also listed under: 1 other name
Description: tRNA-Leu
Rfam family: tRNA
About the family: Transfer RNA (tRNA) molecules are approximately 80 nucleotides in length. Their secondary structure includes four short double-helical elements and three loops (D, anti-codon, and T loops).
Source: RNAcentral
GCGCACGUGGUGGAAUUGGCAGACACGCUACUUUGAGGUGGUAGUGCCGAAAGGCGUGCAGGUUCAAGUCCUGCCGUGCGCACCA